Molecule: long non-coding RNA, 443 nt
Filed under: Oryzias sinensis (Chinese medaka)
Lineage: Eukaryota; Metazoa; Chordata; Actinopteri; Beloniformes; Adrianichthyidae
Description: lncRNA (ENSOSIG00000001886.1)
Source: RNAcentral
AGAGGAGGAAGAGGAGGGGGAGCAGCAGGUGGAGGUGGCGGCGGCCAAGGAGGUGAGUUGGGUGUGUUUACAGCAGGAUCCAUAAAAUGGGCUCUUUCUGACUUCCAGUUUGGCUGGCUGCAGGUGAGCCUGGGGAGUCGGUGGAGCAAGUACCUGGAGACAUGUGAAGAGGCGGAGCCAGAGUCCCCACAGCAGGAGGAGCCGGGGUCUGAGGCUAGAAAGCAGCUCUGUAGCAGCAGGAAGAGGAGGAGGGCAGAGGAGCUUCCACACACAGGAGGAGGAGACGAAGACUCUCAGGUGAGCUGCAGAGCUCUAUCAGAGAGAUCAGACAUGCUGCAGGGCUCCAGACUAACUUUCUUCACUAGGAGCACUGUGGCCCCCAACUGAAAAUUUUAGGGGCGCAACCAGAAAAUUUAGGGGCGCAUACCGUAAAUCAACAUGCG